GUCAGUGUGAAUGAGACUGAGGGAGGGUUUUGUACGACCCUUUAUCACUGUGUGAACACAUACUUGUUGUCAAUCUUGUGUCGGGGCAUACAGUAAUAUUGUGCUUCGUCUUCUUUCUGGACUCCACUGAUGGUCAGAGUGAAGUCAGUGUGAGCGCCAUUGCCGCUGAAUCUAGAUGGGAUGUUUGAGGGGCGCUGGUGUAUGUAAUAAAUGAGGAGUUUGGGAGCCUGUCCAGGUUUGUGCUGGUACCAGAACAUGCAGUUCCUCCAGAGACUACAGUCAGCAACCGAAGAUGUCAGAGGUGACUGAGGGCUGAAGAAAGUGAGCAGAAUGGGUUAUUCAGCUGCAAUAAAAUUCCUGUCUGCAGAAUAACACAUGACAAGAUCCCAUAAGCCAGGCAAUCCUGAUGCUUCCCAGUAGGUCCUGCUCUCUCCUGGGAAUGAAGCCAUAUCUGAGUCCCCUAUGACAGAACUACAAGAGGAAAAAUCAAAGUCUGUGUAGGGGGCCUCCAAAAAUUGACUUUGACGAAGAGAGACCUUGGAGUUAUAAAGGUUGAGAGCCACUGAUCUAGAGCGGUCUAAACUGUCACAGCUUUCAGCUACAUUGGCCAGCAUGUAAUAAUUUAAUUUUCCAAGCAAAAUAGCCUUUGGGCUGAACUUCAUUUCAAUAUUCAUUGUACAGGUACAGCAAGAUUAGGUAAGUUUGUCCCUGGAUGUUCUCUUCUAGUUACAAGCAAAUUUCCAAUCUUUUUUUCAGGCAGCAGUGAUGAAGAGGUGAAGAUAUGAGCUGUGAUAGUGACAAUUGCUUUUCCCUCAUUUCCUAUUUAAAAAAAAUUCAUACAUGUCAUUUCAAAAAUGUCAUUAUCAUGCAUAAUUUUGCAUGUUUAAUUCAGAGCUGCUUCUCUAGAGCUCUGCAUACUUUAACUGAAAUGUUUUUUUGUUUGUUUGUUAAUUUGCCUUUUUUCUUCAAAUGGCACGUACUAAAAUAGCUGGUGGAUAAAGAAUAUUAUUCUUGGAAAUGAAAAAAACAGAGGUGAAAAUGGAAUUUGACCUUUUUGUUACGUUCUUAAACUUGUUUAAGAAGCUUCCCGUAGACAAAACAGCACAACAGAGUAGAUUUGAAAGCCCUAAAUGUUCUCCGAGUGCAAAAUCAAUAAACACAUCUAAAAGCAUUUACCUUAGACCUCAUACGUCUGAAACAAACAUCCAAAUAAUGUGCACCAUUCCGCAUUAAUGUCAGUUUUAGCUAUGACCAAAUCUGCCAUCGUAAUGUCUCAACCCAUGUGAUGGCAAAUUCACGGUCUCCUGAAAUUGCUUUCAAAAUGCCAUUGCAGGCAUUAAGGCACUUCAAUUCAUGCAGGAGAACUGCUUUACUGUCAUCAGAAUCCUGUGAGAGCAGUUUGAGAGGUGGAGAUAAGGCAGGAUACUGUACACAGGCCACAGAAAAUGUCUCGCUCCACGCCUCUUCUUUAUGGGAACUGUAAAUCCUGAGUGCCUGCAGCAUAGAUGCUUCCCUCAUUCAUUUUCAAGGAGUUAUCUUGCCAUAUGAGGAUUUCAUACUCAAUGUUUGUCUGAAAUUACCUUAAAGAUUUCUGUUAGUUCAUAAAAUACAGUUAAAUAUGUUAUAUUAGAUCAAUCAGUUGCUGCAUCCAAUGGUCUGUAAAUUCCUAAUAUUCAUUGUUGUUCAUGGAAGUGCAAUAGAGCUGGUGCUUCUUUAAUGUUACUCGUAUCACACUGACUUGUGUGGACGCUUGUUUCAGCCAAAGAAUAAAAAAAUAAAUAAAACUUGUUUGCUACUUUUUCUCCCACAAUUGUGUUUAGAUCUUGCAUUUCUCAUUUCUUUAAUCAGAAUUCUCACCACGAAAUAAAAAAAUAAAGAUAAUUGCAACUUUUUAUAUUACAGUUUUGAAUUCAGUCGCUACACUAGACUUUUAUUUUAAUUAGAAUUGCAAGUUCUUUUUUGUAUUCCAGUUUAUUGCGUGUUGUCUGAUUUAUGAAAAAGACCCCAUUAGAUUUGUAUUUAUUUUAUUUUAUUUUUUGUUUUAUUCCGUGGCAGAAACAAGCUUCUAUAGACUUGCUCUUUCUCUAUCAAACAAACAAAGUUGCCACCAUCUUGCUAGUUAUAUAUUGUCAUGAAAAUGGCUUCAGAUGACUUCAGUAUUAAUACUAUAAUGUUGCAGUGUUCAUCUUGUAGCUAGUACAAUUCGUUUAGACAUUGUAAUGAAUUGUUUUCUUGGUGAUAUUCACCUAAAAAAAAAAAGUAUUUCAUCACCAUAUGUUAAAGGUGCUGUAGGGAACUUUUUUAAAAAAAAUAUUUUUUACAUAUUUAUUAAACCUGUCAUUAUGUCCUGACAGUAGAAUAUGAGACAGAUAAUCUGUGAAAAAAAUCAAGCUCCUCUGGCUCCUCCCAGUGCUCCUAUUGCCAUUUGCAGAAAGUCAUAAAAAAUAACCAAUCAGAGCUGCGGUCCGUAACUUUGUUUGUGUUCAAAAUGUAGAAAAAUGUAUAUAAUAAGCGAGUACACCAUGAAUCCAUUUUCCAAACCGUGUUUUUAGCUUGUCCUGAAUCACUAGGGUGCACCUAUAAUAAGUGUUUAUAUUCGGACUAUUUUAGAUUGCUUCGGGGUACCGCGGCGGAGUAACCCAGUACCUUUGUGAUUCUUCAUAGACAUAAACAGAGAGAAGUAGUUCCGGCUACGAUGUUCUUCUGCAAGACGCAAGCAGUUCUGUUUAUUAACUGCUAGAGCAUCAAAAGUUCCCUACCGCAGCUUUAAUUUAUAUAUUAAUUAUAUUAAUCACUACCUACAAUUUUUAUUUAAACCAAGUGUGACCAACUUAAAUUGCAUGCAGACUUUGCAAAGGGAGAUACUUUUGUAAUGACUUGAUUUUGACCGCGAAGAUUGGCCAAACCACAGUAAAUGUUGACCUAGCGCAACAGUCAGACAUGUCUGCAUGUUUAAAUAGAACAACAAUGGCAAAGCAAAGCAGUGAAAUGCAAAUUGUGGGAUUGUGGUAUCGUGAAAACGUGCAUUGUUUGAUUAUUAGUGAGAUUUGUGCCUACAGCUCUUGGAAAAUGAUAGUUUUCAACAUUUUAUCUGGAGCUCAAAAAGCUCAAGCCACCAAUUUACUGGCUAUAGAGAGCUUUUUAGAUUUUCAGGGAAGACAGGUCAACUGUGAAAUAGACUUACUGAUAAAACCCUGCCUUUACAAAUAUCACACCGGGUCAUUGUAGAACUUGUUUAAUUUAAAACUGAAAAAAAAAAAAAAUAGUCUGUUUAUAUGGCAAAAUGUUAGGUCAGAUGAUUGAAAAUUAUCUUGCAUGUUACAGUCUCAAUCUCAAACUCUUUAUUUUAUUAUUAACCAGAAGAUGGCAAAGGUGAGCCGCCAGACGUGUGUAUAAGUGAUCAUAUAUGCAUUCCUUCUUUCCUCCCAUCUCUCUCUGUUUAAUAAUUGAUCACUUGAAUUUCUUAAGUCAUAGCAUCAUAACUAAAAACACCUGUUUUGUCUGGACAAGUUUGAAUCAAAUCCUUAAGCCCAUUAAACUUUAUUGUGUAACUCGUCCCACACCAUUUGUGCUACAAACAUUUUGUUGAGGAGAGGUGUGUCACUAACAGUGGAUUGUCAACUCACAUUUCCUUCUUAAAAUGAUUUAAUUGAUUAUGUAGAUUGUCUGUACUACUAAUAUGUAUCCUGUCAUAAUUAUAUGUCUUUGAUUGUGAAACAUCUAUGGUCCUCUGAGAAAAUGACCAGGAGUGGUUGAAAUUACUGUAGUUUAUAUGAUAGAAAUAAAUCCAGAAUGCACGAAAAAUGGCAACAUCUCUAUUUAACAGUAUAUGUACAGAAAGACAAUAGAGUACAAAUUUGCCAUGCAGAGUGAUUCUUAGGUUUGUCUGUGAUUAGUUGCAGUGGGUAUAUUUUCUGAGACACAAACAGCCAAUUACCACUUCAUUGAGAUGUAUAAAUGUUCAUCAUGCAAUGCCUUCAUUUAACUGGAAGUUAAACGAAGAUUUAGACGUUCUCAUAACAGACAAGCACAAAUUUGAAUGGCAGUGCCGUGAAUGAUGUUCUUAAUUAAGAUUUUCAUUAAUGAGUCAAUAAUGAGCACUCUUUCAGAGUGUGUCAGAAGACACCCAGCGGGCAAAUAAGAAUCUGUUCAUUAAGUACCGUGGUUAUAUUUGAGGAAGAGUUUCUCUUGAUGUUAAAAUAAUCAAUUUGUAAGCGUGCCGAUUUGAAAUUAUGUGUCGAAAUUGUGAGCUGAGAACUUUGAACUUUUAAAUGGUCGUUCAGUGAAUGAAGGCAACCGUCAUCAUCAUUUUAACCCUCAUAAUGUGUAUUGUGAAUGUCGUACAAUGCAAGUCUUGGUUCUUAAUAAUGCAGCAUAAUUUUGCUAAUAUUUCAGAAUAUGGCUUGUACCAGUAAUUGUAAUACUCAUUGAAAAGUUGUAUGAAAUGCUAAUUCUUAUUAUACUGCUAAAGCUUUGGGUUAAUGCCUUGGAAUAACACUGAACCUCCUGAGCCUCACUGCAACGCUUUACAUAAGACCUAAAUUAACACCUACCUACAUGAAUAAUAGUGGAGAGGGAAAGUAGGUGAGAUUGAGCCGCUGUAGUGUGCCUUGUGUGUGCUGUAAUUUAAUAAUCAUUGUAUGGCUUUGAUGAUAUUACAAAAAAUUUGAUCAAAGCCACACAAAUUUCAAAAAUGUGUGAGCUGAAAUAUUUAUGAGGACACACUUUUAUAGGGAACAAGCAAAGAAAAAGGGGGUCAUUGCAAACUUUUGGUUAGUGUGUUGCUAGGCGUUUUGAAUUUUUUUGAUUGGUUGUUGUGGUGCAUAGGUUAUUUUUUUUAUAGAUUCUAAACAGCUCUUUCGCGACUCAAGUGUUUAUGAUAUUCAGCUUUUUAUUUUUUUGUGUGUGCAUUUUAUCGUCAUUGAUUGCUGAGAGCUUAGAAAAGUAAAAGCACUGUUUGAAGUAGUACAAACAGUGUGGGGUGACUUGGGUUUGGGGUUUUACAGGCCGUUUGUAAAUACUAAGGCCCCAUUUGCGUUUUCGUUUUAAAACUGCGUUUUAGAAUUAAAACGAUCUGCGUUUUCACUGGAGUUUCAGAAACAAUCUCCGUCUACACUACAUAACUGGAAACACAAGUCACGUGACCAUUCAUGCACACUGGGCAUGUACAUAAAAGUGUAAAAAAGAAGUUGGUUGCUAGUCACUGGCAGGUUCAUCAAUGAGCUUGAUUACUGUUCAUGAUAUGAUUACACGAUCACGUGGGAAGCCAUGCCAUCAUUUAUGAAAGUCUCCGUUUUGGUCCGUUUACACUGAAACGCAACCCCAGAGUUUUCAAACUAAAACAUGGUCAGCAGCUUUUUCCAAAAGUCUCCAUUUUUGAAUGUGGAAAUUUAAAAAAAAAAUUUAAAACUAAAAUCGCACUAGUGUAAACAGUGCCUAAACAAGGCCAUGCUCUAUAUUCUGCAUUAUAUCUCUAAUAACAAUAGAGGGCUGUUAGAUAAAUACUCCACAUCACUAAUAAUAAAUUAUACAACAUUUCCCCCGACAAACAGCAUGAGUAAUGCACUGUGAUGAAUUGUGCUUUUGUAAAAUUGAAAGUUUGUUCUUGGAUCUCCAAAAGACAUUCAGAUCUCUUUUUCUGUUUCCUCUCUAGGUUUACCGCAGUCAGUCAACAGUCUACACCUUCUCACAGAGCUUCAACACACUAAAGACCAGAUCUGAAUUCCCUCGUUCAAGGCUGUUUCAGGCUAUUUUAAUGCCAUAGCUGCUGUUUCCUUGGUUGGCGUCUCCUUAACAGGCAACAGCCUAGUUUGGCUAGAAUUGGCCCUGUCUGGGGUGAAAAUCUUCAUUAAAAUCUUCUAAUCUUCCACAGCCGGUGCACUUCUUGCAUUGGCAUUUUGCUUGACAUCCAAAAACUUACAGAACUGCAGCUCUGAGCAGUUAAUGCUAAAUACCAAAUUGCCUCUUUGUCUCCGUAGCUGUGCUUUAGACAUUAAAAUAAGUGAGGAAUAUCGAUUACGCUGUCGCUCGUGUGAAGGGGGACAGGUCCUUUCCUGACUAAUUUGUAGGAAAAUGCACCUUGUGGCUCCUCCCUUGACACAGUGUUUAUUCAGCAGAAAUAAUUGGUAAUAGCGGAAAGGUAACGUGAGCAGAAUGAUCAUAUUUCUGCCUGUGCUGGUAACAUCUCAUGCAUUUUUAUGCAGUACAGCAGCAGUAUUAGAACCGAUAAUGUUCAGUAAUUAAAGCUUCAUGAAUGGGUGAAAUGGAGCCUGUACUGAAACUCAUUGCUUAUUUUGUAUAGUGCAGUGGUGCUCAUUUCAGCUGGCGGACCAUUAAAAAAAAAAAAAAAAACCUUGAGGACCACUGAACAACCCAAAUCUCCUUUGUUCAUAUUGUUUUUUCCAUUCAUCAAGAAUCCUGAAGAAUAUAUCAUGGUUUCCACAAAAAAUGGAGAAGCACAACUGUUUUCAACAUUGAUGACAAUAAACAUUGAACAGCAAUCAAAAUAUUAUAAUGAUUUCUGACACUGAAGACUGAAAAUACAGCAUUGCAUGGCAGGAAUAAAUUACAUAUUAAAAUAUAUUACAAUUGA
Carassius gibelio (silver crucian carp) is the source of this 6592-nucleotide long non-coding RNA. RefSeq lists it as uncharacterized. Lineage: Eukaryota; Metazoa; Chordata; Actinopteri; Cypriniformes; Cyprinidae. The record is from RefSeq and is a predicted model, not a curated record. The transcript has 3 exons.